This 203-nucleotide ribosomal RNA is filed under the name Clostridioides difficile. RNAcentral describes it as "partial 16S ribosomal RNA". It matches the Rfam family "Bacterial small subunit ribosomal RNA", at positions 262 to 482 of the family's 1533-position model. The record is from RNAcentral. Lineage: Bacteria; Bacillati; Bacillota; Clostridia; Peptostreptococcales; Peptostreptococcaceae.
GGCUUACCAAGGCGACGAUCAGUAGCCGACCUGAGAGGGUGAUCGGCCACAUUGGAACUGAGACACGGUCCAAACCCCUACGGGAGGCAGCAGUGGGGAAUAUUGCACAAUGGGCGAAAGCCUGAUGCAGCAACGCCGCGUGAGUGAUGAAGGCCUUCGGGUCGUAAAACUCUGUCCUCAAGGAAGAUAAUGACGGUACUUGA